GAGUUUGAUCCUGGCUCAGAACGAACGCUGGCGGCGCGCCUAACACAUGCAAGUCGAACGAGAGGCCCUUCGGGGUAGUAAAGUGGCGGACGGGUGAGUAAUACAUGGGUAACCUGCCUUUGAGAGGGGAAUAACCAGCCGAAAGGCUGGCUAAUACCCCAUACGCUUCCGGUCCCUCGGGUAAGGAAGGAAAGCCAUAUCGUGGAUGUGGCACUCGAAGAUGGGCUCAUGGCCUAUCAGCUUGUUGGUGGGGUAAUGGCCUACCAAGGCAACGACGGGUAGCUGGUCUGAGAGGACGAUCAGCCACACUGGCACUGAGACACGGGCCAGACUCCUACGGGAGGCAGCAGUGAGGAAUAUUGCGCAAUGGGCGAAAGCCUGACGCAGCGACGCCGCGUGGGGGAAGAAGGUUUUCGGAUUGUAAACCCCUUUUAGGAGGAAAGAUGGGGUGGGCAACCACCCGGACGGUACCUCCAGAAAAAGCCACGGUAACUUCGUGCCAGCAGCCGCGGUAAUACGAAGGUGGCGAGCGUUGUCCGGAUUUACUGGGGCGUUAAAGAGUACGUAGGCGGUUCGGUAAGGCCCCUUGGGAAGCUACGGGCUUACCCGUAAGGUCGAGGGGGGACUUGGAAGGCUAAAGGGCGGGAAAAGGAAGCGCGGGGAAUUUCCCGGGUGUAACGGGUGAAAUGGCGUUAGAAUUUCGGGGAAAAAAGGCCGGUUGGCAAAGGCAGGAGCA
RNAcentral lists this ribosomal RNA (736 nucleotides) under uncultured bacterium. Its description in RNAcentral is "bacterial SSU rRNA". It matches the Rfam family "Bacterial small subunit ribosomal RNA", at positions 9 to 726 of the family's 1533-position model. The record is from RNAcentral.